RNAcentral lists this ribosomal RNA (253 nucleotides) under uncultured bacterium. RNAcentral describes it as "partial 16S ribosomal RNA". It matches the Rfam family "Bacterial small subunit ribosomal RNA", at positions 524 to 776 of the family's 1533-position model. The record is from RNAcentral.
AACGUAGGUACCGAGCGUUAUCCGGAUUCACUGGGCGUAAAGCGCGUGCAGGUGGUUAGGUAAGUCGGGCAUGAAAACUCUUGGCUCAACUGAGAGAAGCUGUCCGAUACUGCUUAGCUUGAGGACAUGAGAGGGAGGUGGAAUUCCGCGUGUAGUGGUGAAAUGCGUAGAUAUGCGGAGGAACACCAGUGGCGAAAGCGGCCUCCUGGCAUGCUCCUGACACUGAGACGCGAAAGCUAGGGGAGCGAACGGG